UCCUACGGGGGGCAGCAGUGAGGAAUAUUGGUCAAUGGGCGGGAGCCUGAACCAGCCAAGCCGCGUGAGGGAAGAAGGUACAGCGUAUCGUAAACCUCUUUUGUCAGGGAACAAAGGCGGGGACUAGUCCCCGGAUGAGGGUACCUGAAGAAAAAGCAUCGGCUAACUCCGUGCCAGCAGCCGCGGUAAUACGGAGGAUGCGAGCGUUAUCCGGAUUUAUUGGGCGUAAAGCGAGUGCAGGCGGUUCAAUAAGUCUGAUGUGAAAGACUUCGGCUAAA
Molecule: ribosomal RNA, 278 nt
Filed under: uncultured bacterium
Lineage: Bacteria
Description: partial 16S ribosomal RNA
Rfam family: Bacterial small subunit ribosomal RNA
Source: RNAcentral